GACGAACCGUGCGAACGUUAUUCGGAAUCACUGGGCUUAAAGCGCGUGUAGGCGGUCCGGCACGUUCGUCGCUGAAAUCCCCCGGCUCAACCGGGGAACGGGCGCGGAUACGACCGGGCUAGAGGGAGGUAGGGGGAGCUGGAACUUCCGGUGGAGCGGUGAAAUGCGUUGAGAUCGGAAGGAACGCCCGUGGCGAAAGCGGGCUCCUGGACCUAGCCUGACGCUGAGACGCGAAAGCCAGGGGAGCGAACGGG
RNAcentral lists this ribosomal RNA (254 nucleotides) under uncultured bacterium. RNAcentral's name for it is "partial 16S ribosomal RNA". It matches the Rfam family "Bacterial small subunit ribosomal RNA", at positions 524 to 776 of the family's 1533-position model. The record is from RNAcentral.